CACGUAGGGUGCGAGCAUUGUCCGGAAUUAUUGGGCGUAAAGAGCUCGUAGGCGGUGUGUCGCGUCGGCCGUGAAAACCUGCAGCUUAACUGUGGGCUUGCGGUCGAUACGGGCAUCACUGGAGUUCGGCAGGGGAGACUGGAAUUCCUGGUGUAGCGGUGAAAUGCGCAGAUAUCAGGAGGAACACCGGUGGCGAAGGCGGGUCUCUGGGCCGAUACUGACGCUGAGGAGCGAAAGCGUGGGGAGCAAACAGG
RNAcentral lists this ribosomal RNA (254 nucleotides) under uncultured bacterium. RNAcentral's name for it is "partial 16S ribosomal RNA". It matches the Rfam family "Bacterial small subunit ribosomal RNA", at positions 524 to 776 of the family's 1533-position model. The record is from RNAcentral.